RNAcentral lists this small nuclear RNA (93 nucleotides) under Nannospalax galili (Upper Galilee mountains blind mole rat). Lineage: Eukaryota; Metazoa; Chordata; Mammalia; Rodentia; Spalacidae. The record is from RNAcentral.
GCUUGCAUAUGCUUAAAUUGAAAUGCUACAGAGAAGAUAGCUUGACCCCUGGGUAAGGAUGACAUACAAAUUCUUGAAGCAUUCCAUAUUUUU